GUGGUGGGGCAGAUGACUCUGCUGAGGCGGCAAGACAGGACCUGGAUGGAGACGCACUGUGGAUAGACUAUUCCUACAGUGAUCUGGAAUCGGAUGAUCCUGGAGAGGGACCUUCAAAUGGACCGGUGGGCACAUGGCAGACACGGCCUCGGGGAGAGGACUCCCUGGUGCGCCGCAGCCCAAGAAGGUCGGGAGCCGAAAGGUGAAGGGAGAAAUCCCGGUCGCCCAGGGAGAGAACGCAACGGCAGAGGGAAAGGCAAUCGCCCACGUGGGGGAGGCUCGAUAGGUCACGUGAGAGGAGCAGUCGGAGGAGGAGAUCUCGAUCGCCAUCCCAGAGGAGGCGAACACAUAUGCCCAGAGAAAAGGAGACUAGAACGCAGCCUGAGGCUGGGACAAGGAUAGCUGCAGAAGCAAUGGGAGUAGCAGGAGCUACAAUGGCACCCAGAAACAGAGUGGGUGAGGUUUCGGGAAGUGGUGCCAGAAGCGGAGAAGGAAGGAAUCAGUUGCCCGCCGGACUUGCUGGAGCUGGAGGCUUGGAGCUAAUCAGAGUUGCAAGGGGAGCGUUAGCUCCAGGUACGUGGAGUGCUUAUGUUAGAACAUGGAAGCAAUGGUUGAAGGU
Bombina bombina (fire-bellied toad) is the source of this 619-nucleotide long non-coding RNA. RefSeq lists it as uncharacterized. The record is from RefSeq and is a predicted model, not a curated record. NCBI's taxonomy places the organism in Eukaryota, Metazoa, Chordata, Amphibia, Anura, Bombinatoridae. The transcript is spliced from 3 exons.